UGAUGAUGGUGAUGUUGAUGGUGAUGAUGACGACGACGACGAAGAUAACGAUAACGAUUAUUAUUAUUAUCAUCAACAUCAUCAUCAUCAUCAUUUAAA
This 99-nucleotide microRNA precursor is filed under the name Pediculus humanus corporis (human body louse). Its description in RNAcentral is "microRNA mir-598". The record is from RNAcentral. Lineage: Eukaryota; Metazoa; Arthropoda; Insecta; Psocodea; Pediculidae.